AGACCUCUCAUAUAAAGUCCAACCAUUAAUUAAACAGUGUCAAGGCAACCACUAAAACAUGUUCCCAUCUACACACCUUUUAAAUUCCUCCAGGGAUGGUGACUCCACCACUACCCCAAGCAGCACGUUCCAAUGUUUGACAGUCCUUUCCACUGAGACAUUUUUCCUGUUAUCCAACCUAAACCUCCACUGGCACAACUUGAUGCCGUUUCUUCUUGUCCUGUUGCUUGUUACUUGAAAGAAGAGACUGGCCUCUACCUGCCUACUAGCAAGCCCCAUAAAAACACCUUUAAUCCUUAAAGAAUAAUGAGCUUCAGCUUGGGCAAGGUAAAAGAACAUGUGAAUAAUGUAGCAGCUGCUGCAGGCUGACUAUAAGUUAAAAAGCUGGUACUUGCUUACAAAAAUGGAGGCCCAUCUCUUUUUGGAAUCAGUAUAUUGUGAAGUUUUAGAAGCAGUAGAGCACAAUUCAGAUUCCAUUAAGGCUGUGCUUUCCUUCUGGGUUAAAAGACAUUUUUUCAGUGACAAUUUUCAGGUUGGGUACUUGUGAUGCAAGACCUGACGAUGACAGAAAAGACCAUGAUUAUAAUAUGUCCUUCUUAAUAAGAGCUGUCAUGGUUUCUUGAAGGUAAAACUACCUUCUUAGCACCUUCCUAGCAGAGGAAGAUGGUGUGUUUUUUUGUUUCUAGGACGCUUGCAGUAAUUACAGAUAUAGCAAACAUUGCAUCCAAAAUGGGAUUUUACAGCUAAAUGAUGUCACCUUGAAUGCUCUGAAAAACUCUGGUACAACCUUCAAACAGACCUGAGAGGUGAUUUGGGAUUGUUCCCACAUAACAAAGCAUAGUGCAACAGGUAGAUUAUUUUUUUCCCCACCAGUUAGUCUAUUGCCUUCAAUGCAAAAGAAUUUUUUUGCAUCACAUAAUUUGUUGGACCUUAUGGCAGCUGAGAAUACAGUCAGUGUUGAAAGCCCCAAGGUGUAAGUUACACAACUGUUGCAGAGCCCACCAGAGUACUGUAUACUCUAUCUCUGACACUGCCAUGCAGUGACAGAGAUUUGUUAUUCCAAUAUCAGCCCGUAUGGACUCUGUUUCAUUUUGGUAAAAAUAGUGAUCAGAUUAUUAAUGUAUAAAAUCAAGGCCAUGGAGAUAAAUGAAAUGGGUACUUUGGGUUGCUUCAUUGCAUUCUGACAAGGUUCAGCUACAACAAGCUAAAGAUUUUUGCUUGUAAUAGCAUAUUGCAGUCAGUAUGAAGGUGCAUGAACCAUGCUGUUUGUAAAUACAAGUCUUGCAUUCUUUCAUAAGUUUUUUAAAUGGACACAGUGAAAAUCUUGAGAAUCAUAAACAGAAAAUUUUCCAGUUUUUUAAGCAAUGAUGAUUUUUUGAACAGCACACUACCAAAAACUCCCAAUUUACUCUUGGACAUCAGCUGAACAGUAAGUGUUACCAGUUAGAAGAUUUCAUAGAUGAGACCUUAUUUUAAAAUUGCCUUCACUUAGGUCCAUCGUGUGUGGAAUCAUUUGGUACUGGCUUCUGAUGAGCAGGAUGUUGUCUUUAACAGCUCACUGGGAUUUUCAAAUGCAUCAAUACCGAGGUUUGACAAGUGCUUGUGUUCCUUGAGGCAUGGAGAAUAAAAGUAAUUCUGAACAAAAUUCUGUUCUUUAUUUCAGUUUCAAUGAUAACAUGCAAAUCAGAAUCUGUUAACCACUGGCUGUUCCAGAUAUGACAUCAAAGCCAAAAAAGGGAGACUUGAUGUAGUAUGACUCAAAACCAGAAGUAUUUUGGUAAGUCACAUAACAUGCAUUAAGAAGUUGAGGAAAUUAUCAUUUGUGAUAACAGAAAUUUUUUCUCUGAAAAAGUACAUUUUCAAGAAACAUUGCUAAAAAGCACAAUAGACUGUUCACAUUUCGGAAAGUCUUUCUUCCUUCAAAGACCUAGAAGACCAAACCCUCACACAAGGUAGGCUUAGAACAUCCUGCCACAGCCAAAGCUUGUGGAAAACUCCACAAUGCCUCAGCGUGGCAUACUGGUUUUGGUCAAGUAUAAUGCAGUGCUCUUCCUAUCUAUGCAACUUCCACCUUCUUUCAGAGUUAUUAAUUCACCUGUUUCAGUUAGAACAUUUUUCUUGGUAAGCCUGCAUUACCUCAGCACAUCAAGAGGAAUAUUCUCAUGUUCAAACAACAUUGAAGAAUAUUAUCUGCUUGAGAAGUUUUGCAUUGCUUUCCAAAAUAUGUAUUGACCAAAGCAGAAUUUAAAUAAAAUAAGUCCCCCAAAAAUAUAUAUAUUACUCCUGUGUAUUCACUAUGUAAAUACAGUUUAUGAGGUUUUAAUCUCUUUCUUGAACCCUUGAAAGCUUGGUUUUUAAGAUGGUAACCUUAUGGCUGCAAUACUAUUAGUUCUUAAAUGUACUGAUGCUAUCAGUCUACAUGCAUGGUUCUUUUAUACCUAGAGGACUCCUUAGUGAUGCUAAUACAGCUAACAAUAUUGCUUGACUUUAUUAAAGCCUACUAAUGUGUUUACUUGGGGUUGAGAAGUCACACAUUUUCCCUUCCCACCAGUAGCAGUCAGCUCUGAUAUGUAUUUUUGCUUUCUUACAUUAACACACAUGUGUUACAGAGUAUCUGUGCAGGUGAUUAAAAAAAAAAAAAGGCUGCAUAGCUCUUUGGUGUCACUUGAAAGUAAAUACAGAUGUGUACCCUACUCAUGUGAGGCUCCAUAUGAACACAUAGAUAUCGCCUAAAGGUAAAUUUCAUAUGCAUCUAAAAGACAAUUUCUGGAGAGAAAAUUAUCUUACAUUGUCAUGGACUCCUGUCCCAUUUUUAUUAAUGGCCCAGAUUUGAGAAACAACUGAAACAGAAGGUGUAUCCUUACUGUGAUACCUGGGUGUGAGACAGGACACGCCCUUCUUUGAAGGAGUAACUUGCAUAAAUUCUUAUUUUUCCACUCAUAAAACUCUUGUAUAUACCUCCCCAUCCCCAUUUUUCUCCCCAGAGUUUCUCAUCUUCCAUUCAAGAACUGCUGCUCUGUAUCCCAUUUUGGCCCAAGUAAUAAGUAGAUAGUAAUGACAUUCCCUUAACCAUUGUAUCUCGCUGCUGACAUCUGCAUAAGGAACAGAUGUUGUCCAGUGCUGCACCACUGUCAAGGCAUGGAAGAGUCUUCCUUCACUUUCUGUCCUUCCUGAUGUUGUUCCAGUGAAACUGUUCCAAUUCUAGCUGACAUUACAUGUCCUCUGGACUGGAAUGCACAUGCUGUUUCCUGCAUGUAUGUGUUUGAUCUGUUUAAUUAGAGCCAUGGAAGACAUCUUCUGCACCUCAAAAUAAUAUUUCUUGGCACUACACCUGGGGAAACAGGCAUCCACUGUAAUCUGGGAUAUGACAAGAAUAUCAGAGGCCAGCUGAAGGAGGGAUUCCCAAAGUCUUGGUGUAUUUCUCAUGGUACUUGCAUGAGAAAAAAGAAUCUGCAAAUCCUCCAAAUGCGUUUGUCUUCUGCAAGUGCAGAGCCUGGGACAGAAUUGGAAACAGCUGUAACCCCUGCCUCGAAGAGAAACAGAAAGAAUGACUUACUGAGGAACCAAGUUAAAAAUGAAAGAAGUGAAGAUUGGUCAUCUCUGCAGAGGAAAUUACAAGGUAUGCAUAGUAAUCACACUGGAGAUUCAUUUCUUGAUGGUGCUUAGGUCUUCAUGGUACAUUACCUGUGGCAAUAAAGUUUGAAAACAGUCCUCAGAAACCUUGAGAAAGAUGUUUGGAAAAGAACUUUUUUCUUCUGUGUGAUUGCCACAGUAAGCAAAGCAAAUAUUUUUAUGGUUAUAAAUAUCUUUGAGAUGCACCUUUAAGCUCAUUGCUGUGCUGAAUUGUAGCUGUGUUUCUGCAAGUAAAUGGCAAUCACAUUCAAUGAAUUGUUUUUUUGGCUGAGGCCAGUAAAAAUAACCCUUCUCCCAACACUAAACUGAAAUCCCUCCAGAUACUGUCAAUGGUCAUUCUUGAGACUUAAAGUGCUUGUUUCAUGGGCACAUUUAAAUCACUGUAUGCUUGGUUCAGCAGUGUUAGCAUUUUCUCUUUCUCAUUUAUUACUAUCACAAGGAGAUGCACUUAGUACCUGUUUUGCACUGCAUUUGAAGAAUGUGUCCUUUUACAUUUGUCAUCCUGAAAAUUUGUAAUUUAAGGGAUGCAAAAUCAGCACUACUAACAACUCCUGCCUCUCAAAUAUUUUCAGUAAAGUGAAUGCUUCAUAUUUAUCCAGUGACUGCUCAGAGACCAACACAAGGCUAUAUGUCACUUAAGUCCUGAGGUUAAAUGUUGCUUCAGUGAUGCAUAAAAUUUGUAUUGACCAUCUGCCCAGCAUUGAGUUGAACCAUUAAUGAAUAAGCCUCACAGUGUGACUGUGAGAUAGGGAAUUAUGAUCUCCAUUUAACAAGUGGUAAAACUGAGCCCCAAAGAGCUUAGGUAACCACUUCAAGUUCUACAGGAAGUGUGUAAUAGAACCAGUAAGGAAGCCUAGCUCACCUGAGCUGCCAUCCUUCCUAUCUGGACACCCCUGCACCUGGUAUCCUUUUCACCAUGUUCUGUUAUCAACAGCUAUACACUCUUUAUGCACAGCUCCUACCAUCAAAUUCUCUUGCAAAGAAGCUUAAAGCACAGCUGAUGUGACCUGUGAAUCCUUCUCGUCCAUAAAGAACAACAUGAGACACAAGGCACAAAGGCAGCACAAACAGCACCAGAUGGCCUUCGUAACUGGAGCAAGUCAGCACAAAGUGACAACAGGGAGAGCUGUUGUUGUGGCCUCCCUUUCUAUUUUUUUGCAUAAUGUUGAGAGGAAGACUAUGCAGAUCUUUCUGUAGUACAGAGAGGAGCUGGUGGUAGAGGGCAAUCAGUGCUUUGCCUUUUGUAAUCUUGCUCAACAUCUCUUUGAUUUCUUUAGUAAAUGUCAGGUCACAUGCUUGCAUUCUAAAGCUGAAGUAUAAAUCAUCUUCUCAAGUGACAGAAACUGUCAUUUUUCCUUGCAAAGUAUUUUUCUAACUAUGUCUUAUGUAACGGUUACAGUUGUUGACAUUUUUCUUAAAAGCCCUGUUGGUUUGACACUCAGGAUUCAGUAUAAAGCUACAGACUUGGAUAGAGAAUUCUUCUGCCUUUGCUUGUAUCUCUUUCCCAUGAGCUGAAGAAAGAAAUAUUAUGCAACUCUGAGUCAUGCUGUAGAAAGGUGUUGUAUUUUUAAUAUCAUUAGAAUUUUAAAAGAAGGAAAAAGAUAAACCUUACCAUAGGUGAAACCAAGAGUUAAUACACUUCAAUUAUAGAAAGUGGCUAUUAAAUUUUGAUGGGAUGCCAUGACUGAUACUUCAAAUAAAACGUUGAUGUGGCGAAGUGGGGAGUGUCGAUAAUGAGUUGAAUACUAGAGAAAGGCUGUUGAUUUUUAUGGAAAAUAUAUAUAUAAAAAAUACAUGAUCCUCAACCAAAGACAUUCUUGUGGAAGUAUUCAUAGGAAAAAAAUCGAAGUAUAGAUUUCUUAUGUCUGUCUUGGCUUGUGUCUACAAGAAUGCAGUAUCUUGGCAUAGAUAUAGGCUGAUAGUACUUGCCCACAUGAGAUGUUUUACUGUGCCCAGCUUAAGGAUGGUAUUGAUUCCUGCCCAGCUUAAGGGUGAUACUCUAGCAUUAUUAAUCUGCUUUCCCUCUGCUCUUUCAUGCCUGCAGAAAAAACUAUUGAUACGUCUUCCUGACAGGUCUUUCUGAGAAGGAACAGCUGCAGAAUGUGGAAUCAGUUGUGUGAAAUUCCUGUUGGCAAGGCCUUUGACCUUCAACUUCUGCUGGAUCCAGCUGAGUGAUAAAAAGAGAGAACUUUUGCAGGUCCACAUAUUAGUGAUGCUGAAAGCCAGGGCAGGUGGCUUCCAUCCCCUGUCCCCCUGCAGUGUGACCAACUGCCCCUGGGGUGAGAUUUGCUGAGUGACACAACUCUCCUUGAUCCAUGUGGGAAUGAUGGAUGCAGCAUUUAUUGUGUUCUUUAAUUAACUAGCAAAAGGUUGUCACCAAGCAAUCCAGCUGUCUGGGAAUACAGCCUGUGCUUCCUGUGAUCAGAGUGUGACUGUCCUUUGGGGUGAGGUAGUAGGUUGUAUAGUUUUAGGGCUAUGCCCUGCCUGUCAGAUAACUAUACAAUCUACUGUCUUUCCUGAAGUGGCUGUGAUGUCAGCGCUGGAUGUCUCCGAAAGACAAUGCAGAUAUUUUUCAACUGUACCAUUCUCUGGCUCUGUCUACAUGUUUGCUUCUUGUACACAAAUGUCCUUGGAUGUUUAGAUUCUUUUAUUUCCCAGUCAGGCUCAAAAGCCAUUUCCUUCUGGCAUUUUCAGAGAGCAGGUGGGGUGUGAGUGCCAGGACACAGAGGUACCACCCAGUCUGCAGUGGAUUUGCUCACACACAGCUGCCAGGGACUGCCAUGGGAGUGGCCACUUGGAAAUAGCUGAUUCUUUUCCCCCUUGUUUUCUGGAAUUUGUGUUCAUAUUAAACAUAAAAUGGUACUUUUGAUUCAGCAGCUGUUUAAAUCCACUUGGUGUAGGCUGUUUGAGAAACUACAAAGGGAUAAGCUGGACAAAGCCCUAAGAGGAUGGCUUCCAGUCAGUCGUGUUCUGCUCUGGAACUGGUAAAUUCCUGAACUCUAAGUAAAAGGUCUCUUCAGUUAGUUUUGGACGCUGAUUUAACUCACUUUUUUUACAUAUUGCUGGUUUGAGAGGACAGUGUUUGCCACUGCAGUUCUCCUGUCUCUGGAGUCCCUCCACCAGUUCUGUCUGACUCCCAGGUAGAGCUGUGGGGAAGGGCUGAGACAUCACAUGUGGCCUUUCUAAGGCUAAGAAAUGCAUGGGCUGGAGAGCAAUAAGGUAAUUUACUUAUAAAUGGUGAAAUGUUUCCUUCAGAAGAUGCACGUGAUGCUCUAACAGGAUGAGGUAGUAGGUUGUGUGGUUUCAGGGUAGUGAUUUUGCCCCAGUCAGGAGAUAACUAUACAACCUACUGCCUUCCCUGAUAGGCAGCAUAACAUCAGUGUCUUAAUUCACAGAGAAACAAGAGCUAAAGUACACUCCUGAUAUGCUUCUGAGACGAGCAAAGUAAGUCUAGAUACAAUUGUUGCUGUCCUGUCCCUAAUAGCUCUAAAUUUAGAUUUUAAGUGUAGAUUUUUGGUAACUGCCUGCAAAAUAAUUACCCUUUUUUAAGUCUUUAUCAUGAAAAAUUGAAUUAAAGAAGUUUUAUUUAUUUCAAAGUUUGCCUGCUCUCGAUCUGUUUCAUUUUUGGUUCAUUUGAGUGGGAUGAAGUUAGUGGGGGAAGUCAUGCCAAAAAUGCUGCGAAAUUGCAAUCAGGAAGUUUGUAUUUCCUUGACAUCUGAGUGCAGCAAAUUUUACUGACAGUGCCCAGUUUUAGUUCUACCUUACCUCUCCCUCAGCAAUCUUGCAGUGUUUUACAGAUAGUACUAAGUUAAGUCACACAACAUUCUUCAGCAGGUAAGGUUUACAUAGCAAGGAAAAAGCUGUAACUAUGAAAAUCAAGAAUGAGAAUUUAAAAACCAAAACCAGACAUCUAUUUAGUCCCUCAGUUUCUCAUAACAAUCUCAUUUAAUGAUGUUUAGAGCCCCCAAAAGAAUUAUCUGCUAUCUAAAAAGCACAAAUUGCAUCUGAAAAACUAUGGACAAAAAAUGUUUGGUCAUUAAAAAUAUUUUGAGAAUAUGAACUUUAGAGUCCUACAAAAAAAAUCUGUGGAAGAAAGGGAAUAUAACAACAAGAUGCUGAGUUUGUUUGUAGACAUAGAAAUAGUUUUCCCACGUGCAAAAUA
Molecule: non-coding RNA, 7795 nt
Organism: Sturnus vulgaris (Common starling)
Lineage: Eukaryota; Metazoa; Chordata; Aves; Passeriformes; Sturnidae
Source: RefSeq, a predicted model, not a curated record